This 437-nucleotide ribosomal RNA is filed under the name uncultured bacterium. Its description in RNAcentral is "bacterial SSU rRNA". It matches the Rfam family "Bacterial small subunit ribosomal RNA", at positions 355 to 792 of the family's 1533-position model. The record is from RNAcentral.
UGGGGAAUAUUGCACAAUGGGCGAAAGCCUGAUGCAGCGACGCCGCGUGAGGGACGACGGCCUUCGGGUUGUAAACCUCUUUCAGUAGGGAACAAGGCAUCAUUUUUGUGGUGUUGAGGGUACUUGCAGAAGAAGCACCGGCUAACUACGUGCCAGCAGCCGCGGUAAUACGUAGGGUGCAAGCGUUAUCCGGAAUUAUUGGGCGUAAAGAGCUCGUAGGCGGUUUGUCGCGUCUGUCGUGAAAGUCCGGGGCUCAACUCCGGAUCUGCGGUGGGUACGGGCAGACUAGAGUGAUGUAGGGGAGACUGGAAUUCCUGGUGUAGCGGUGGAAUGCGCAGAUAUCAGGAGGAACACCGAUGGCGAAGGCAGGUCUCUGGGCAUUAACUGACGCUGAGGAGCGAAAGCAUGGGGAGCGAACAGGAUUAGAUACCCUGGUA